This 459-nucleotide unclassified non-coding RNA is filed under the name Haliotis rufescens (red abalone). Its description in RNAcentral is "bTB/POZ domain-containing protein KCTD7-like, transcript variant X2". The record is from RNAcentral. Lineage: Eukaryota; Metazoa; Mollusca; Gastropoda; Lepetellida; Haliotidae.
CGCUCCCAUCCACCUGUAGCGCGAGGGGUAUGCCCUAUUACAUUGUGUGAUGUUCAGGUUAAUGUUUGUAAUGAACAGGAUAUUAAUCAGGUAUCUCAAACAGGUAAGUUUGUAAUAAAUUAGAGUAGUUCGGCUUUGUCAAUACACUUACAUAGUUCGCAAUAUCAGGGCAGAGAGCACAGCCUAACUGACCUCCACAUUUCCCAGAAAUGAAACCGAAAGCGGGUGUGCUUCUUUUCUUAGAAGUCGUCUUGAAUAUCUAGCGUUCCCCUCUUACAUAACGACCGCUGGAAUGGAUGGAGAGUGUGCCCAGGUAACGGAAGUUCCCUGCUGUCAUCGACUUAAAUGUGGGUGGUCGUCAUUUGACAACCUGCCUAUCCACCCUCACCAAGUACCCUGACUCCAUGUUGGCCGCCAUGUUUAGUGGAAGGCACCCGGUAGCCAAGGACAAAGAUGGAC